RNAcentral lists this ribosomal RNA (496 nucleotides) under uncultured bacterium. RNAcentral describes it as "partial 16S ribosomal RNA". It matches the Rfam family "Bacterial small subunit ribosomal RNA", at positions 28 to 506 of the family's 1533-position model. The record is from RNAcentral.
GAUGAACGCUGGCGGCGUGCCUAAUACAUGCAAGUCGAGCGAACGGACGAGAAGCUUGCUUCUCUGAUGUUAGCGGCGGACGGGUGAGUAACACGUGGAUAACCUACCUAUAAGACUGGGAUAACUUCGGGAAACCGGAGCUAAUACCGGAUAAUAUUUUGAACCGCAUGGUUCAAAAGUGAAAGACGGUCUUGCUGUCACUUAUAGAUGGAUCCGCGCUGCAUUAGCUAGUUGGUAAGGUAACGGCUUACCAAGGCAACGAUGCAUAGCCGACCUGAGAGGGGACUCGCCACAACGGAAACUGGGAAAGGGGCCAACCCCCAAGGGAGGGAGGAGGGGGGGAACCUCCCGAAAGGGGCAAAAGCCGACGGGGGAAAGGCGCGGUGAGGGAGAAAGGUUUUGGGUUGGAAAAACUCUUUUUUUGGGGAAAAAAAUAUGUGUAAGAAAAGGGCCACAUCUUGAGGGUCCCAAAUAAAAAAGCCACGGCAAACUACGU